UUGACGCAACCUUUGUGAUAAUUAUUAUUUUUGGAUUUGACUGUAUGUAAACACAUUUUAUCAGCCUUACAAGCAACCAAACUUUUUUCAUAACUUGGAAAUGUUUAAAAAGCAAUUGAAGUCCUCCUCUGGUCAUUUUUUUUAGAUAUUUUCAAAGAGUUCCCCAUUGGUCUUUUGAUUGUAAUUUUUUUAUUUUUACCCAAAAUAAAAAACAAAAAAUCUGUCAUUUUCCAUAGCGUAGUUUCUGCAAAACAACAGUAGUUGAUCAAGAAUAAGCCUCCAACUUUUAGGUGGGACUGUUGACGCAGAGCAAUCCCGCCACCCUUCCCAUUGCUCAUAGCUCAGAGUAGGGAGCUUUUCAGACUAAAUGUUUUCAUCUGCUCCUGAUUCACAUUGAUUUAAAUAAUAAUAAAAAAAAAACUCAAUAAAUGCAAUUUUAAUCUUAACUUUAUCAAAUAUAUCCUCCAUCACCAGAAAAACAUUACAAGAAUAUGUUAAAAACACCAAAACACAAUUUUCAUUGGAGUGGCUCUUUCAACGAGUCUGUAUAUUAAGGUAAACUAUCUUUACUUAAAUUCUAGGGCUGUCGAAAAGAACACAAGUGAUUAAUAAAAAGUAGUUUGCAUGUAAAAAUGUAUUAACGGAAAGUAAUUGAACCUCACGAAGCAGGAGUCUUUCACUUUGCCUCAGAUGGUUCCGGUUUCCUCAGCGUGCAUCAAAACAUUGUCUGGUUUUAUCCCACAUAUACCAUUAUUAUUUACAAAAUGAAUACAUAUUCAAUCAGUUUACAUUACUUUAAUCUAGUAUUUUUUUCAGUUUAGAUCUCUUCUUCACAAAAAGCAGACUAUUUGAUCUGUUGUCUUGCACGUUGUCACGGUAACAUGACAAUGCGUAACUGAGCCUCCACUGCAGCAGCAAAGGAAAGCAGUACACAUGCUCAUCGUCACGGAAGUUGGCGUACUUUGCAUCAUCCACACUGAAGUAAAUGCCACCUUGACAGCAAACCGGCCGUGGAAGAUCUGCCCACUCAUCCAAGCUGCACACUUCCGGAGCAGGCGUGACAGAGAGAGGACGGAAUUAUCCUCAAGCUGCCAUUUCAAAAUAGAUACUUCAGUUUUGAAACCAAAUAAUGUAAUAAAGCGAAAUAAAAUCA
Long non-coding RNA from Oryzias melastigma (Indian medaka), 1153 nucleotides. RefSeq lists it as uncharacterized. The transcript has 2 exons. The record is from RefSeq and is a predicted model, not a curated record. Lineage: Eukaryota; Metazoa; Chordata; Actinopteri; Beloniformes; Adrianichthyidae.